CCUACGGGUGACAGCAGUCGAGAAUCAUUCACAAUGGGGGAAACCCUGAUGGUGCGACGCCGCGUGGGGGAAUGAAGGUCUUCGGAUUGUAAACCCCUGUCAUGUGGGAGCAAAUUAAAAAGAUAGUACCACAAGAGGAAGAGACGGCUAACUCUGUGCCAGCAGCCGCGGUAAUACAGAGGUCUCAAGCGUUGUUUGGAAUCACUGGGCGUAAGGCGUGCGGAGGCUGUUUCGUAAGUCGUGUGUGAAAGGCGCGGGCUCAACCCGCGGACGGCACAUGAUACUGCGAGACUAGAGUAAUGGAGGGGGAACCGGAAUUCUCGGUGUAGCAGUGAAAUGCGUAGAUAUCGAGAGGAACACUCGUGGCGAAGGCGGGUUCCUGGACAUUAACUGACGCUGAGGCACGAAGGCCAGGGGAGCGAAAGGGAUUAGAUACCCUUGUAGUC
RNAcentral lists this ribosomal RNA (446 nucleotides) under uncultured bacterium. RNAcentral describes it as "partial 16S ribosomal RNA". It matches the Rfam family "Bacterial small subunit ribosomal RNA", at positions 338 to 795 of the family's 1533-position model. The record is from RNAcentral.